AACGAACGCUGGCGGCGUGCCUAACACAUGCAAGUCGUGCGAGAAAGUUCCUUCGGGAGCGAGUAAAGCGGCGCACGGGUGAGUAACACGUAGGUAACCUGCCCCCCAGUCUGGAACAACUAGAGGAAACUCUAGCUAAUGCCGGAUGAGACCACGAUCCCUUCGGGGGUUGCGGCCAAAGAUGGCCUCUACUUGUAAGCUAUCGCUGAGGGAUGGGCCUGCGGGCCAUUAGCUUGUUGGUGAGGUAACGGCUCACCAAGGCUGUGAUGGCUAGCUGGUCUGAGAGGAUGACCAGCCACACUGGGACUGAGACACGGCCCAGACUCCUACGGGAGGCAGCAGUGGGGAAUAUUGCGCAAUGGGCGAAAGCCUGACGCAGCGACGCCGCGUGGGUGAUGAA
RNAcentral lists this ribosomal RNA (400 nucleotides) under uncultured bacterium. RNAcentral's name for it is "bacterial SSU rRNA". It matches the Rfam family "Bacterial small subunit ribosomal RNA", at positions 29 to 412 of the family's 1533-position model. The record is from RNAcentral.